AGCCCUCAGCGUACAUGCCAGCUAAUUACAGAUGCAGGAGCAAACCCCUGGCCCAUACAUCAAUGGAGUUUCGCUCUUGUUGCCCAGGCUGGAGUGCAACGGCACGAUCUCAGCUCACCGCAACCUCAGCCUCCCAAGUUCAAGCAAUUCUCCUGCCUCAGCGUCCUGAGUAGCUGGAAUUACAGGAUUUUGGAAGCAUUGCCUUCUACAGAAUCCACAGUAGUCCGAAGCUCUUCUACGGUUUUUGUCAAACUUUGAUUUUCCAUCUCUAGCUUCAAUAAUCUACUUGAUGUCAACUCAUUCACCUCAUGGCCCAGGGAUUUCUGGGGUGCUAUAAUAUUGAAAAAUACACCAUUGUAUUUACUCUUUACUGUUUUUACUAUGUUUACUCUUUACUAUUUAAAAAGUUGAGUGUAUAUGCAUUGCAUCAUCUGAUCCUUAACUUUAUUAAAAAUUCAAUGAGGUUAUAUAAGAUAAACAAGAUAAAAGAAGUAAAUCUUUUUUUUCCUUUUCUUUUUUUCUUUUUUUUAAAGAGACGGGGUCUCUCUCUGUCACCCAGGCUGGAGUGCAGUGAUGUGCUCCUAGCUCACUGCAGCCUCAAACGCCUGGUCUGAAGGGAUCCUCCCACCUCAGUCUCCCAAGCGGCCGGGACUGCAGGUACAGCCAGCUAAUUUUUUUAUUUUUUAGUAAAGACUGGGUCUCUGUUACUUAGGCUGGUCUCGAACUCCUGAGCUCAAGCAAUCCUCCUGCCUUGGCCUCCCAAAGUGCUGGGAUUACAGGCAUGAGCCGCUGCACCCAGCUAAGAGAUACAUGUUUAACUUUUAAUGCAUCCACAGCAUUCUAGUUAAAAAAAGCAUAAAAUUUAGAUUGAAGAAAUUGGAGUUCAAGCAGACCCAUUAAAUAUUUUGCU
This 910-nucleotide long non-coding RNA is filed under the name Homo sapiens (human). RNAcentral's name for it is "HSALNT0031769". Lineage: Eukaryota; Metazoa; Chordata; Mammalia; Primates; Hominidae. The record is from RNAcentral.